RNAcentral lists this ribosomal RNA (452 nucleotides) under Halorubrum lacusprofundi. RNAcentral's name for it is "bacterial SSU rRNA". It matches the Rfam family "Archaeal small subunit ribosomal RNA", at positions 1 to 455 of the family's 1478-position model. Lineage: Archaea; Methanobacteriati; Methanobacteriota; Halobacteria; Halobacteriales; Haloferacaceae. The record is from RNAcentral.
AUUCCGGUUGAUCCUGCCGGAGGCCAUUGCUAUUGGGAUUCGAUUUAGCCAUGCUAGUCGCACGAGUUCAGACUCGUGGCGAAUAGCUCAGUAACACGUGGCCAAACUACCCUUCGGAGCACGAUACCCUCGGGAAACUGAGGUUAAUAGUGCAUACCACAAUCCACCUGGAAUGAGGAUUGUGCCAAAUGCUCCGGCGCCGAAGGAUGUGGCUGCGGCCGAUUAGGUAGACGGUGGGGUAACGGCCCACCGUGCCAAUAAUCGGUACGGGUCAUGAGAGUGAGAACCUGGAGACGGAAUCUGAGACAAGAUUCCGGGCCCUACGGGGGCAGCAGGCGCGAAACCUUUACACUGCACGCCAGUGCGAUAAGGGAAUCCCAAGUGCGUAGGCAUAGAGCCUACGCUUUUGUACACCGUAGGGAGGUGUACGAAUNAGGGCUGGGCAAGACCGG